GUGCUCACUUCAGCAGCACAUGUACUAAAACUGAACGAUACAGAGAAGAUCAGCAUGGCAAGGAUGACAUGCAAAUUCAUGAAGCAUUCCAUAUUUUU
RNAcentral lists this small nuclear RNA (98 nucleotides) under Otolemur garnettii (small-eared galago). The record is from RNAcentral. Lineage: Eukaryota; Metazoa; Chordata; Mammalia; Primates; Galagidae.